GGCCGCGGUAUUCUGACUGUGCAAAGGUAGCAUAAUCAUUAGUUCAUUAAUUGUGAACUUGUAUGAAUGGUUGGACGAAAUAUUUACUGUCUCAAUUAAAUAUAUUGAAUUUAAAUUUUGAGUUAAAAUGCUCAAUUGUUUUUAUAGGACGAGAAGACCCUAUAGAUCUUUAUUUUUAAUUUUAUUAUUUGUUUUAGUUUAUUUAUUUAUAAUAUUUUUAUAUUUUUGGUUGGGGUGACAUGGAGAUAAUAUUAACUCUCUAUUUUAUUUUACAUUUAUUUUUGAAUUAUUGACCUUGUAUUAUUGUUAUAAGAUUUAGAUACCUUAGGGAUAACAGCGUAAUUUUAUCUGAGAGUUCAUAUUGACGAUAUAGAUUGCGACCUCGAUGUUGAAUUAAGAUUAUAAUUAGGUGAAGUAGUUUAAUUAUUGGGUCUGUUCGACCUUUAAAUUCUUACAUGAUCUGAGUUCAAA
This 471-nucleotide ribosomal RNA is filed under the name Eurycnema versirubra. RNAcentral's name for it is "partial large subunit ribosomal RNA". It matches the Rfam family "Bacterial large subunit ribosomal RNA", at positions 1929 to 2615 of the family's 2925-position model. The record is from RNAcentral. Lineage: Eukaryota; Metazoa; Arthropoda; Insecta; Phasmatodea; Phasmatidae.